RNAcentral lists this long non-coding RNA (631 nucleotides) under Olea europaea subsp. europaea. Lineage: Eukaryota; Viridiplantae; Streptophyta; Magnoliopsida; Lamiales; Oleaceae. The record is from RNAcentral.
UCUAGUCUAUAGUUAUCUAAUUCCUCCCAAAGUCCUUUAAGCCGGUUGAAAUAGGAAUUGACAGAACUGUUUGCUUGAGAAAUUAAUGCAAUCUGCUUCUUUAUCUCAUAGAUUCAAGGACCAUUACCUUGACCGUAUCGAUCCCUGAGUUCGAUCCAGAUCUGGCGUGCAGAAUCCUUGUGUAUAACACUCGGAUAAACUUCUUUUGGAACAGAAUUAAUGAUCCAGGGAAAUAUUACAUGGUUGCACCUCCUCCAAGCACUAUAAAGUGGAUGAUCUAACACUUAGAUAAACAUCUUUUGGAACAGAAUUGAUGAUCCAGGGAAAUACUACAUGGUUGCACCUCCUCUAAGCACUAUAAAGUAGAUGAUCUACAGAAGGUUUAGCAAUCGAUCCAUCAAUAAAACCUACUUUAUUUUUGACACUACGUGCCAUAACAACAGCACAACUCCAUGUCGCAUAGUUCUCUUUUGUGAGGAUGACAGUUAUGAGCUGCAUUCCCGUGUUAUCACCAUAAUGGAAGUAAUACAGACCAUUUGGAUCGCUUAUUAACCAAUUAACAAGGGAGGUUACCUCAUUGGCAACUACAUUUCCAGCAAGGGAAGUUACCUCGCCGGCAACAACAUCUUUA